AUUGAACGCUGGCGGCAGGCCUAACACAUGCAAGUCGAGCGGAUGAAGGGAGCUUGCUCCUGGAUUCAGCGGCGGACGGGUGAGUAAUGCCUAGGAAUCUGCCUGGUAGUGGGGGAUAACGUCCGGAAACGGGCGCUAAUACCGCAUACGUCCUGAGGGAGAAAGUGGGGGAUCUUCGGACCGCACGCUAUCAUAUGAGCCUAGGUCGGUUUAGCUAGUUGGUGGGGUAAAGGCCUACCAAGGCGACGAUCCGUAACUGGUCUGAGAGGAUGAUCAGUCACACUGGAACUGAGACACGGUCCAGACUCCUACGGGAGGCAGCAGUGGGGAAUAUUGGACAAUGGGCGAAAGCCUGAUACAGCAAUGCCGCGUGUGUGAAGAAGGUCUUCGGAUUGUAAAGCACUUUAAGUUGGGAGGAAGGGAAGUAAGUUAAUACCUUGCUGUUUUGACGUUACCAACAGAAUAAGCACCGGCUAACUUCGUG
This 484-nucleotide ribosomal RNA is filed under the name uncultured bacterium. RNAcentral's name for it is "partial 16S ribosomal RNA". It matches the Rfam family "Bacterial small subunit ribosomal RNA", at positions 30 to 507 of the family's 1533-position model. The record is from RNAcentral.